RNAcentral lists this ribosomal RNA (1236 nucleotides) under Triticum aestivum (bread wheat). RNAcentral describes it as "partial small subunit ribosomal RNA". The record is from RNAcentral. Lineage: Eukaryota; Viridiplantae; Streptophyta; Magnoliopsida; Poales; Poaceae.
AUGGAUGGGGAUAAAAAUAAUGCUUAUUUUCAUGCGAUGGCCAAUCAUAGACACAGAAAAAACCACUUAUCUGAGCUUGUUGGAGAAAAUGGUCCAGUAUACACCACUCAGGAAAUGCUGGAGGUAGCUACUACCUACUAUAAAAACUUGUUUUGUUUUGAAAACAAGCACAAUAUAUGUCUUGGUCCUUCCUUUUGGGAGGAAAAUGAGUUAGUUACCCAGGAAGAGAACGACCACUUGCAGAAAAACUUUUCUGAAGAGGAGAUUAAAGAGGCAAUAUUUGGGUCUUAUGCCCAUGGUGCCCCUGGCCCGGAUGGACUAUCUUUCUUGUUUUAUCAAACCUUUUGGGAUGUUAUUAAAAGUGACUUUAUGGCCCUGGUGAGAGACUUUGAAGCAGGGAAACUGGAUUUACAACGAUUAAACUUUGCCCUGAUUGUGCUCAUUCCUAAAGAAGUUGAUGCCAGGGAGAUGAAGAAGUUUCGCCCCAUUAGUCUGAGUAACUGUGGGAUUAAGAUUUUUUCUAAAGCCAUGACCAAUAGGGUCUCCCCUGUUGGGGGCAGGCUGAUUUCUUCUAAUCAAACUGCAUUCAUUAAGGGGAGAUACAUACUAGAGAGUGUGGUGAUGGCACAUGAAGUGAUCCAUGAGAUUAAAAAAUCAGGAUCGCAAGGUUUAGUUCUCAAAUUAGACUACGAGAAGGCCUAUGAUAGAGUUAGUUGGGAAUUUCUGUUUGAUAUGCUUCACUCGAGGGGUUUUGGUCCAAAAUGGAUUUCUUGGAUUAAAAGCACUCUUGUUAAUAGCACUUUCAGUGUGAGGAUUAAUGACACGACAGGUCCCUACUUUGUAGGAGGAAAAGGCCUCAAACAAGGGGAUCCACACUCCCCCCUGUUGUUUAAUCUAGUUGCUGAUGUUUUUACCAAAAUGCUCAAGAAAGCUGCUUCCCAACGUCUAAUUUCUGGGCUUCUGCCCCAUGUGAUCCCUGGAGGUGUGGUUAGUCUGCAGUAUGCAGAUGACACCAUACUCUUCCUGGAAAAUUCUGUCCAAAAACCAAGAAAUUUUAAAUGGCUUCUGUCAUGUUUUGAAAACCUGUCUGGGAUGAAACUCAACUUCCAUAAAAGUGAUCUCAUGACUAUAAAUAUGGAUGAUGCAAUUGCUAAGGAUUUGCUCAAAUUUUUUGCUGUAAAAAUGGUUCUUUUCCUAUUAAGUACUUGGGAGUGCCUUUGCAUUAUGAUAAAUUAA